Rhipicephalus microplus (southern cattle tick) is the source of this 812-nucleotide unclassified non-coding RNA. Lineage: Eukaryota; Metazoa; Arthropoda; Arachnida; Ixodida; Ixodidae. The record is from RefSeq and is a predicted model, not a curated record.
AAGCCGACUGUGCGUAUAAGGCUCUUUAGCGAUAAAAAAUUAUGCUGCUGUCCAGCUUGUUCUGCGCAGUUCUUUUCGGUGUAUCAGUGGCUACAAGAUCGAAUUUUUCAGAAGAAAGCAUUCAUAACGUAGAUAUUGUUAAGUUCUGGAACACAAGCGAAUUGAUCUGGACGACCUACACAACUGUUUUGACACGUCGCGUCUGCAAAGUUGACAUUAAAAAAAACAUAUCACAAACAAACAUCAACUUUACCAGGUCAUAUCUCCGAAAGACCCGAUCUUCAUCAGAAGUGUCCUAAAAAUAAAAAGCGUCACGUCAAUGAAUAAAACAAUGCUCUAUAGUCUCGGGUUGGUUGCAUAGUAUACAAUUCACUGUGUAUGGUGGACCACGAGAGAAUAUAAUGGACUUUUUUAUAACUUCUCGAGUGGUAACGAAUCACAGAUGCCAUUUGAUUCGGUGUACAUAACUUCAAGGCAGAAAUAUGAUGACGCAACAGAAGUCUUGUACUACCAAAGCCAAGACAACAUGUGCGCUGUUUUUUCGGUACUGACCAUCCGCGGACCAAUAUUGAAGCCAUCGUACGACAUUCGAAUGAAGAACUCGUCUGUACAUAAAAUACCUGCUGCGAAAAGUGAAUGUUGGCCAAAAUUCCUAGAAGUCUCGGAAGGAAGACAAAAGAGACGUUUGUACGACCCGAGAUGUCAGAAGGCACUACAUGACAAAUUUCCCAACCCCUUACAUGAUAGCUGGCAUUCAAAAUGAACCAAAAUGUAACCACAAGCUUGCACCAAUUACAAUGACGAAACCUGAA